This 354-nucleotide unclassified non-coding RNA is filed under the name soil metagenome. Its description in RNAcentral is "partial contains 5.8S ribosomal RNA, internal transcribed spacer 2, and large subunit ribosomal RNA". The stretch from base 1 to 120 matches the Rfam family "5.8S ribosomal RNA", at positions 35 to 154 of the family's 154-position model. The record is from RNAcentral.
GAUGAAGAACGUAGCAAAAUGCGAUAAGUAAUGUGAAUUGCAGAAUUCAGUGAAUCAUCGAAUCUUUGAACGCACAUUGCGCCCGCCAGUAUUCUGGCGGGCAUGCCUGUCCGAGCGUCAUUUCAACCCUCGAACCCCUCCGGGGGGUCGGCGUUGGGGAUCGGCCCUCCCUUAGCGGGUGGCCGUCUCCGAAAUACAGUGGCGGUCUCGCCGCAGCCUCUCCUGCGCAGUAGUUUGCACACUCGCAUCGGGAGCGCGGCGCGUCCACAGCCGUUAAACACCCAACUUCUGAAAUGUUGACCUCGGAUCAGGUAGGAAUACCCGCUGAACUUAAGCAUAUCAAUAAGCGGAGGA